RNAcentral lists this long non-coding RNA (2668 nucleotides) under Citrus x clementina. RNAcentral's name for it is "Citrus clementina (C. clementina) long non-coding RNA (CCLE_LNC000397)". Lineage: Eukaryota; Viridiplantae; Streptophyta; Magnoliopsida; Sapindales; Rutaceae. The record is from RNAcentral.
AAAUAGUUUCAUUGUAGUAAUCACUGUAUCAAACAACUAACCGUUUAUGAGAUAACGGCUAACCGACAUAGAACAUAAUUGAAGAUUAGCUUCUGGACGCUGAUGACAAACCGACAUCUAGAAAAUAAUGAUCCAACAAUUUGAAAUUAUAGUACAACGAUCACUUGCUCAAGUCAAAACGGCAAUUUGAUAAAGGCUAAACGGUGAUCUGAUUGCGUGUAAAAAGUCAGCAAUGACUAGUUUUCAGCUCCAACUAUAAAAUGGCUCAAUUAAAUUCAAAUCAAAUGAGAUCUAAGAGCUAUCAUUGAAUUUGCUACUGAGCAUACAACCAUUAUUGAGGUUUAAACCUCUUUUUGUUUCAUUGAUUCACACUUUGAGCUUUCAUUUGUAACCAUAUACAUUGUGUGAGAAAAUUCAUUUGUAAUCUUUAUUUUUGAGUGAUUGUAAGUGUUGGGACACACUUAAAUUAGGAGAUUAGGGAUAAUCUCUUGUUGUAAAGGUCUAUACCUUGGAAGUUAAUUGUAAGAGUUGUUGAAGCCUUAGAGGCUCGCUUAGUGAAAUCCUUAAGCCCGGUGAGCUUGGAGGCGUGGAUGUAGGCACGGUUGGCCGAACCACGUAAAAAUCGCGUGUUUACUUUCUCUUACCCUAUCUCUUUAUUUUUCAUUGCAUGUUAAUUUAUUUAUUUCGAAUUUGGUUGCUUUGUUUAAAUUGCAUUAAGUUUUAGUUGCUUAAACUUUUAGAAUGCCAAUUCACCCCCCUCUUGGGUUGCCUAGUUAGUAUUUUAGAUAUUUAUAAUUUUAUUUAUUAAAAUCAUGAUAUCAUUUAUUCAUUUAAUAAAUUAUAAGCAUAAAAUAAUUAGAGUAUUUUUUUAAACUAAGAUUUAAAUGAAUUUAGAAAACCUAUGCUACUAAAAAAAAUUAAAAGAUUCAAUUCAAGCCAUCUAGAAAAUCAUAAAUUUUAAAUUUUACUUCUAAUUAAUUUUUUUUACUUUGAUAUACUUUGCCUUGUAUGCUAUUCAUGACUCAUAGGCUUUUUAUGGCCCAUAGGCUGUGUGCUAGCCCACAAAUGAAGUAUGCAUAUGGCAAGCUUUUUCAAGUGUUGUGCUUUAGCUCACAUCUAUCGUGCUACAUUUUUAGGCUCACGUCCUGAAAAUUUUCAGUCCAGCCCAGUUCACAUGCAUGCCAUACUAUAUUGCAUACCUAUUAAAAUGUCCUUGUAUAGUAUCAUACUGUAUGGACACAUGUCGUGCCUGUACCAUUCCAUGUGAUGCCUGGUCCAUUCGCCAUCUCUACAUAGAUGGAUAUGUACAGAAGGAAAGAGGAAAAGAGAAAUGAUUUUGUGCAUAAAAAAUUCAUUGCGUUGUUACUAACAUUAACAUUACUCAAUACACUGUUAAUUGAAGUAUUAUUCUCUUAGACAUCAUCAAAAUCUCAAAUUGGUUCUCAUGCCUGAGAAUUCGAUGAUAAAGUGAUAAUCUUCUUAUUGGCUUUUAGAAAUUUCGUUAUUGCUACUACACUGUUUAGAAAAUUUACUUAUCUUUUUCUCCAUAAAAAAUCACCUUUUUAAAAAAAUUUAUUAUGGAGCCACAUCUUUUUAUACGGUUUUGCUACCCUUAAAAAAAAAAAACUCUUUAUAAGGUUGAAAAUUAUUCUAAAAUAAAAUCGAUGACAAAAAACAUUGAUUGAAAUUUCUAUUUUUCAUGUCUUUUAGUUUGAUACUUAUUUUAAUAAAUAGGGUGUUCUACUUAUUGGGAUGCACAUAUAAUAAUUUUCAAAUUACGGAUACCUCACUUUAAUAUGGUCAAGACCAAGCUAAAAGAUUAAAAACAAUCACACUACAAUGUAGUGUAUUUUAUCCUAUUAUGUAUAAAAGUUUGUGCUUUUAUCUUUUAACUUUGUUCAAACCAUAUUAAAGUCAAAGAUCCCUAAUUGAAAAAUUUAGUGUCUAUUUUAGUCAUAUGUAUUGUCACAAUUGUUGGACAAAAAACUUUAUUAAACCCAAAAUAUUACUUUUUAAACUAAUAUCUACUAAAUGCUAACUACUCUUCUUCGUAGUUAAUUAUUUUUAUCAACACUAUGAAACCGACUCUAAAGAUAACAACAUAUGCUUGAAUGAUAUAUCAUCUCUUAUUUCUUAAGAAAUAUUUGUAUUUGAUUACCUACCAUCUCAACCUGACACUAAUGUUCUUCCAAAUAAAGAGUAUUGGGUCUUAUUUUAGAAUACACUAUAUGUUGAAUGUUAAAUUUAAUAAGUCCAAAACCAAGACUCACUUGUGGCCGCACAAUGAACCUACCAUCUCAGCAAGCUAGUCCUAUAGAAGUAUUUCUUCUCUAUCUUUAGAGUAGUCUGGUCCUACCAUCUUAACAGGUUGAGGUGGUAGGACUAGCCAACAAUACUUUGCCACUUAGCUAAGCAGUGAGUCUCAUUAUAGGACCCAUGUUUUAAUAUUAAAUUUUCGUGAGUCUCAAGUUGAAACCCACUUAAGCUACUACUGAAAGUGUUUCAAGAACUCAACUAAGAUUGUUUCACACAACGUGAGAUUGAGCAAUAACAAUAAAUUGACCUCACUUUGCAAUCUAAGUGUCUUGCCUCCAAAGUGAUUUACAUUAUUCACUCUAUAUUUUAAAGGUUUUUCCUCUAGCCAAUCACUUGUAGAGAAUAGUCUUAU